Molecule: ribosomal RNA, 549 nt
Filed under: Acrobeloides sp. TKb29
Lineage: Eukaryota; Metazoa; Nematoda; Chromadorea; Rhabditida; Cephalobidae
Description: SSU rRNA
Rfam family: Eukaryotic small subunit ribosomal RNA
Source: RNAcentral
CCGGUGGAUUUUUAGCCCUGGUGGGUAGCUUCCCGGAAACGAAAGUCUUCCGGUUCCGGGGGAAGUAUGGUUGCAAAGCUGAAACUUAAAGGAAUUGACGGAAGGGCACCACCAGGAGUGGAGCCUGCGGCUUAAUUUGACUCAACACGGGGAAACUCACCCGGCCCGGACACCGUAAGGAUUGACAGAUUGAUAGCUCUUUCAUGAUUCGGUGGUUGGUGGUGCAUGGCCGUUCUUAGUUCGUGGAUCGAUUUGUCUGGUUUAUUCCGAUAACGAGCGAGACUCUAGCCUACUAAAUAGUAACGAGAUUAUCAAUGUCUCAGUUGCUUCUUAGAGGGAUUUUCGGUGUUUAGCCGCACGAGAUUGAGCAAUAACAGGUCUGUGAUGCCCUUAGAUGUCCGGGGCUGCACGCGCGCUACACUGGCGAAAUCAGCGUGCUGUAUCCAUUCUCGAAAGGGAUUGGUAAACCCAUGAAAAUUUGCCGUGCUUGGGAUCGGAAAUUGCAAUUAUUUUCCGUGAACGAGGAAUUCCAAGUAAGUGCGAGUCAUC